Labrus bergylta (ballan wrasse) is the source of this 1366-nucleotide non-coding RNA. The record is from RefSeq and is a predicted model, not a curated record. NCBI's taxonomy places the organism in Eukaryota, Metazoa, Chordata, Actinopteri, Labriformes, Labridae.
CACAGUAAGGCUGGAAGGUUUCCAGGACAGACCAUGAGAGCAGCUGAAAUAGUCAUGGUUUGUGAUUUCCUGAUUAAAAGUGAGUGUUAUUGGGAGUUGGACUACUCUUCAGCUUUUCCGAGAGGCAAACUUGUUGUGUAUCCUGAAUCAUGGCAGGGUGCAAAUGGGAACUGACAAGAGGGAUAUGGCUAUGGAAAUCGUCGCCCCCUUUAGUAUGUCCAUGCUCUGCGGCAGACCACCAGAAAACCCUUGAGAAAGCCUGAGGAAAAUUCUUGGGCGCUCGACCAAAACGGGCCUGUUGAAUUAUCAAACCCAAGGAGAAAUCUCAGAUCAGUAUGAUGGCACAGAGCAACUGAAUGGAAAACCCAAAUACACAACUCCUUAUUCAUAUGGAUGACGAUGCGCAACAAGAUGAUGGACAGCACCACUCUUUUGCAGCUCCAACAGUUUACAAUUAUUCUCCUCAUGGCUAUCCAACAUCCUUCAUGCCUAUUUACAGCCAGACUUCUGGCGUGGACAGCGGACCAAUAUGCAUACCAGCCUCAAGAACAAAUGGAAACUGAGCAAAUACAAACUCCUGAAUCUUUUCCUGAACAGGCUAACUAUGCGCAAAUGUGGGCUCUGUUCAAACAAACUUUGUCCACCAACAAUGGUCAGAACCAACCUUCCACACCAUGCAAGAUGUUUUUUAUCCCAAUAAUAUUCUAUUGACCAUUAUGAACUUCAGCAUCCAGCCCAACAAAGUUCGAGUGCAAAUAUCCUUUUACUGAAGGUUCAAUACAGCAGUUUAAUGCAUAUGGCCUCAAUCAUUACACCAACACUUUACCAUCUGCUGUCCCCUGAUCAGUACUGAGUUCAGCUCUUUGAAAUUGAAUCAUCCAUUACAUGACUACACAAUGCAAUCCAUUCCUGGCUGUAUCGGGAAUACUCAAAAUCCUAAACCUGCUUCCUUCCCAGUUUGCGCAAGUCUGUUUUGGCAGCCGACCAUAAAAUUUUUCUGCCCAAUGUGUUCACCAGUGAUACCAUUAAAAGGGAUAGCGCUUAGUCAAUGCAAGGACACAAGCAUGAACCCAUACAAGAGUCAGCAAAAUCAUUAAUCUGGGGUGAAGAAGUUGCGAUGUCUGCAUGCACAGCAGACCAACAACAGGCAAAGGGAACAUAGGUGGGUUUAUUCUGACCUAUUUAAUAUGGGGACUCAACACAUCCACAUCUGUUUACUCAAAAUAUUAUAAUGGUGCCUUUCUAAUGUUGUUUUCUUCCCUACAGAGAGCUGAAUCAAUAAAUGAAAAUGUUUCAUUAUGUGCCCAAGCCCUAUCCUGUUUGACUCUUUAAUGAAUGGCUUCUGGACUUCUGUCAGGAAAUUUAA